CCCUUGGGCAAGUCUGGUGCCAGCAGCCGCGGUAAUUCCACCUCCCACAGCGUAUAUUAAAGUUGUUGUGGUUAAAAAGCUCGCAUUUGAACCUUGGGCCUGGCUGGCCGGUCCGCCUCACCCCUUGUACUGGUCCGGCCGGGCCUUUCCCUCUGGGGAACCCCAUGCCCUUCACUGGGCGUGGCGGGGAAACAGGACUUUUACUUUGAAAAAAUUACAGUGCUCCAGGCAGGCCUAUGCUCGAACACCUAAACAUGGAAUAACAAAAUAGGACGUGUGGUCCUAUUUUGUUGGUUUCUAGGACCGCCGUAUUGAUUAACAUGGACAGUCCGGGGCCUUUCUAUCCCCUUGCCAGAGUCGAAAUUCCUGCAUUUAUUGAAGACUAACUACCGCCAAAGCAGUUGCCACGCUGGUUUUCUUUCUUCACGAGGAAAGUUAGGGGAUCGAACUCGAUCAACUACUGUCAAAGCCUUA
Molecule: ribosomal RNA, 474 nt
Filed under: uncultured Ascomycota
Lineage: Eukaryota; Fungi; Ascomycota
Description: bacterial SSU rRNA
Rfam family: Eukaryotic small subunit ribosomal RNA
Source: RNAcentral